UACGUAGGGGGCGAGCGUUGUCCGGAAUUAUUGGGCGUAAAGAGCGUGUAGGCGGUUCGGUAAGUCUGCCGUGAAAACCCAGGGCUCAACCCUGGGCGUGCGGUGGAUACUGCCGGGCUAGAGGGUGGUAGAGGCGAGUGGAAUUCCAGGUGUAGCGGUGAAAUGCGCAGAUAUCGGGAAGAACACCCGUGGCGAAGGCGGCUUUCUGGGACGGUACUGACGCUGAGACGCGAAAGCGUGGGGAGCGAACAGG
RNAcentral lists this ribosomal RNA (253 nucleotides) under uncultured bacterium. RNAcentral's name for it is "partial 16S ribosomal RNA". It matches the Rfam family "Bacterial small subunit ribosomal RNA", at positions 524 to 776 of the family's 1533-position model. The record is from RNAcentral.